This 253-nucleotide ribosomal RNA is filed under the name uncultured bacterium. RNAcentral's name for it is "partial 16S ribosomal RNA". It matches the Rfam family "Bacterial small subunit ribosomal RNA", at positions 524 to 776 of the family's 1533-position model. The record is from RNAcentral.
UACGGGGGGGGCAAGCGUUGUUCGGAAUUACUGGGCGUAAAGGGUUCGUAGGUGGCGUACUAAGUCAGACGUGAAAUCCCCAGGCUCAACUUGGGAACUGCGUCUGAUACUGGAUGGCUUGAAUUCGGGAGAGGGAUGCAGAAUUCCAGGUGUAGCGGUGAAAUGCGUAGAUAUCUGGAGGAAUACCGGUGGCGAAGGCGGCAUCCUGGACCGAGAUUGACGCUGAGGAGCGAAAGCCAGGGGAGCAAACGGG